Fundulus heteroclitus (mummichog) is the source of this 407-nucleotide long non-coding RNA. RefSeq lists it as uncharacterized. The transcript is spliced from 3 exons. The record is from RefSeq and is a predicted model, not a curated record. Lineage: Eukaryota; Metazoa; Chordata; Actinopteri; Cyprinodontiformes; Fundulidae.
CAGGCCCAAACCAUGUGGUCAAUCUCCCAGGCUUCACCAUUCUAUUGUGAGACGGGAGCAGGGUUAAAGGACGACUGAAAUGACUAAGUAGGGAUCUCUGAUACAAUCUGCCUGUCUGAAUCAAUGUGAGGGAGACAUGGGUUUCAGUUUAGCGGGUCACGAUGGUUGCAUAUGACCCCAGCUCCGCAGGGAGGUCUACGUCUCUUAUGUCCCCUGUUCAUUUUUUGCCUCAAAUCUGGGUCAAAGGAUGAAAGAAUCACCCCUACUCGCUAUGACUCUAACACACACUGACGCUCGCCCAGCCUGCUCUGAAAAACGGCUUCCUGGAGAUUUGAGUAGUAACAAGGUGCCAUUGUGAAGGACACUGUCAAGAAUUACAACAGCAGCCUCGUUGUCCUAAAUCUAGA